RNAcentral lists this ribosomal RNA (251 nucleotides) under uncultured bacterium. RNAcentral's name for it is "partial 16S ribosomal RNA". The record is from RNAcentral.
CUGCUGCCUUCCGUAGGAGUUUGGGCCGUGUCUCAGUCCCAAUGUGGCCGUUCACCCUCUCAGGCCGGCUACUGAUCGUCGCCUUGGUGGGCUUCUACCCCGCCAACUAGCUAAUCAGACGCGGAUCCAUCUUACACCACCGGAGUUUUUCACACUGAGCCAUGCGGCUCUGUGCGCUUAUGCGGUAUUAGCACCUAUUUCUAAGUGUUAUCCCCCAGUGCAAGGCAGGUUAUCCACGCGUUACUCACCCG